GAAAUGCCCUUUUUUCAUUAGCUCCAAACUUAUUAUUGGCAUUUCAAUUCUUUCUAACUCACUCGCAUUUCAUUAUUUUAGUCUCUCUUCGUACUGCAUUCUCCACCACAGCCCCCUCCACCGCAACCGCCUCCUCACCAGUGCUCCACCAUAGCUCUCCUCCACCAGAGCCCUCAUCCACCGUAGACCUCGGCCUCCAACACGUACAACUCCUCGUUUUCCUCUCUUUCCCAAUGAAGCGCACUCCAUGUUCUCCUCUGAGGCGAACUCAUCUGAAAUCAAUUGAGCCGAAUUAUGAUAUCAAUUGAGGUGAAUUCUCUCGGGAAGCAAGAUCUAGAUGGCAAAAUAUGAAAAACUUAGACAAGCAGGGAUAGAACAAAAUAGAAGCACAAUGAAGGAUUUGGGGGUUAUAUCCAUGGCUUAUGAAAUGAAAGAGUCGAUGAAGGGCUUGAAACAAACGAAUAAGCACUAACUCUUAUAAUUGCGUUAUUAUAUUUUUUUCUCUAGAUGUUUUAUAUAUGAUGCUUUCACCUAUGGAAUUAAAUGGAUCAAGAUGAAGAAUUGGGAUACAAGUGAUGAUGCUACAAGAAGCACUUACUAUUACUGUUGUUUUGCUGCUGCUACUGCUGUUUUGAUGUUGUUACUGCUAUUUUUUUGCUGCUACCGCUGUCUGUUGUUGCCCCCUGCCACUGCUGUUUGCUGCCACAUCUACCGCCGUUUUCUGCCACUACUGUCUGCUACUGAUGUUUGCUGUCACAUAAUGUUGUGUGCUGGUCUGUUAUAGCUGCUGCCGGUCUGCUAGCUAGCUGCUGCCGCUAUUUGUUGUUAUUAUCGCUGACUGUUGUUUGAAAUUUGGAAGUUUUUCUUAUUUCCUCACUUUUCCAAGCUAGAGAUCGAAGUUGAUUUUC
Long non-coding RNA from Chenopodium quinoa (quinoa), 908 nucleotides. RefSeq lists it as uncharacterized. The record is from RefSeq and is a predicted model, not a curated record. Lineage: Eukaryota; Viridiplantae; Streptophyta; Magnoliopsida; Caryophyllales; Amaranthaceae. The transcript has 2 exons.